GGAAAAUGAUGGAAGUGGAAGGAGGGUAAGAGAGAUAGAGACUUGAGGGUGAGACAAAGAAGGAAAGAGAUGGAGAUGGGAGGAGGGUGAGAAAAUAAAUUGAUAUGGGGAGAUACAGAGAGAUACAUAUAAAAAGAAAUAGAGGAAUGGAGACGAGGAGAGAGAUAAAGAUAAGAGGGUGAGAGACACUAAGAUGAGAAGAGAGUGGCGUUUUGAGGUGAAGAGAAAAUGAGCAAGUGAAAGGAGAGGAAGGUGAAGGGGGGUGAAAGAGACGGAGAGAGAAGCAAAAGAGGAAUGGCGAGCGGGUAGUGAAGAAAGAGAGAUGAGAGAAUAUGGUAAGAGAUAUUAUUAAAUGGUAAAAGAGUACGUUUAGGCUUUUUAUUUUUAAUUUAUGCAACACCAGCAACAUAAUUAUAAAGAGGUCUGAU
This 428-nucleotide unclassified non-coding RNA is filed under the name Hevea brasiliensis (rubber tree). The record is from RNAcentral. Lineage: Eukaryota; Viridiplantae; Streptophyta; Magnoliopsida; Malpighiales; Euphorbiaceae.